Molecule: ribosomal RNA, 886 nt
Filed under: uncultured bacterium
Lineage: Bacteria
Description: bacterial SSU rRNA
Rfam family: Bacterial small subunit ribosomal RNA
Source: RNAcentral
GGAUUAGGCAUGCAAGUCGGACGGUAGGGCUUUAUCGUAAGAUAGAGUUUGAGAGUGGCGAACGGGUGAGUAACACGUAGGAAUCUACCCUUAAGACGGGGACAACCCAGGGAAACUUGGGCUAAUACCGGAUGAGAGUGCGAGAGAUUGCAUUUAAAAGGAUGGCGAAAGUUGUCGCUUAGGGAUGAGCCUGCGGUCUAUUAGUUAGUUGGUGAGGUAAGAGCUCACCAAGGCGAUGAUAGAUAGGCGGCCUUAACGGGUGGUCGCCCACACUGGGAUUGAGAUACGGCCCAGACUCCUACGGGAGGCAGCAGUCGAGAAUAGUCUACAAUGGCCGGAAGGCUGAUAGUGCGACGCCGCGUGAACGAGGGAGCCCUUCGGGGUGUAAAGUUCUUUUCUAUACGAGCAGUGCUAUAUAUAUGGAUAGUAUAUAUAGAGGGAUAGUAGUAUAGGAAUAAGCAACGGCUAACUCCGUGCCAGCAGCCGCGGUAACACGGGGGUUGCGAGCGUUGUCCGGAAUUACUAGGCGUAAAGGGCAGGUAGGCGGAUCUACGAGUUUUUUGUUAAAGGCUACGGCUCAACUGUAGUAGAGCAGGAGAUACUGUAGGUCUGGAAUGCGGUAGGGGAAGACAGAAUUCCUGGUGUAGCGGUGGAAUGCGCAGAGAUCAGGAGGAAUACCGAAGGCGAAGGCAGUCUUCUAGGCCGUAAUUGACGCUUAACUGCGAAGGUGUGGGGAUCAAACAGGAUUAGAUACCCUGGUAGUCCACACAGUAAACGAUAAUCACUAGAUGUCGGGUUCUAGAUGGAUUCGGUGUCGGAGCAAACGCGAUAAGUGAUUCGCCUGGGGAGUACGAUCGCAAGGUUGAAACUCAAAUGAAUUGACGGA